RNAcentral lists this ribosomal RNA (456 nucleotides) under uncultured bacterium. Its description in RNAcentral is "bacterial SSU rRNA". It matches the Rfam family "Bacterial small subunit ribosomal RNA", at positions 28 to 522 of the family's 1533-position model. The record is from RNAcentral.
GAUGAACGCUGGCGGCGUGCCUAAUACAUGCAAGUCGUGCGGAAAGGCCACUUCGGUGGUACUCGAGCGGCGGACGGCAGAGUAACGCGUAGGAACAUACCCCAAACUGAGGGAUAACUGCUCGAAAGAGUAGCUAAUACCGCAUGUGAUCUCCGGAUUAAAGCUUCGGCGGUUUGGGAAUGGCCUGCGUCCGAUUAGCUUGUUGGUGAGGUAAUAGCUCACCAAGGCGACGAUCGGUAGCUGGUCUGAGAGGAUGAUCAGCCUGACUGGAACUGAGAACGGUCCAGACUCCUACGGGAGGCAGCAGUAGGGAAUUUUCCACAAUGGGCGAAAGCCUGAUGGAGCAACGCCGCGUGCAGGAUGAAUGCCUUCGGGUUGUAAACUGCUUUAUUAGUGAAGAAUAUGACGGUAACUAAUGAAUAAGGGUCGGCUAACUACGUGCCAGCAGCCGCGGAU